Molecule: non-coding RNA, 1532 nt
Organism: Benincasa hispida (wax gourd)
Lineage: Eukaryota; Viridiplantae; Streptophyta; Magnoliopsida; Cucurbitales; Cucurbitaceae
Source: RefSeq, a predicted model, not a curated record
AUUUUCCCCCCAUUUUUUUCAUUUCCCUCUUCACUCUCCCUCUAUUUUCUUUUUCUUCUCAUUCUCACACUUCCCUCUUCAGACCCUAUUCUUUCUCACUCCUUUCCUCCAAACCUGUGUCUACUGCUCAUUUCAUUUCUCACUCCUCUCUUCCAAAGUGGAUUUUCUGGUCAUUCCGCCAGAUCUACUGCUCAUUUCGUCGUCGUUCGUGUGUCUCCGUCGGAUCUGCUGUUCGUUUUGUCGUCGUUCGUGUGUCUCCAAAUCUGCUGUCGUCGAUCGCCAGAUCUACCGCCGUUGUCGUUCGUCGUUCGUUCCGUCUUCGUUCUGUUGCCGUCGUCGUUGAAUCUUUUCAUUUGCUUUGGGUUUGAAACAGAUCUCUGAGUUUUGAAUGAAUACCAGCAGAUUCAAUCUUUUUCUGCAUUUAACAGCAUCUUCAAUAACACGGGACUGUUUGGAAUUUAUGCUAGCACUGGUUCUGACUUUGUGGCCCAAGCAGUUGAUAUUGCUGCAUCAGAACUAAUCUCAAUUGCAAAUCCUAGACAAGUUUCGGAGGUGCAGCUUAACGUCCUCGUAGUUAUGGUGGUAGAAAUAUUUAUGGAAGAAGUCGAAAUAGGUAUUCAAGCUACACAAACAAAUGCGAUUGGUCACCUGAUAAGCGAUACCGGAGCCCACCUCGAGGCAGGAGCCCUCCAAGGUUUCCUCUCUCUCUUUUGUGUCUCCCACACACAGUCACAUGAACACAGAGACGUUGAUAAAUCCCUUGUAUGGGCACCUAUUUUGCUCUUAAGGUCUCAUUUUCCUAGAACUGCUGCAUGUAGUCUUUUAGUAAAACUUGAUAUGAAGAAUAUAUAUUACCAUAAAACUUAAAAACAAUCAAUAGUUACACCUAAGAAAGUUAAUUAUUUUAAAAAUGCAAUGGACUAGCGUAGUUGGCUAGAGAAAAUAGUACUCGUUUGUAGUAUCAAUUGUGUCUCCGCCGAAGCGCCACAACCACGCUUGCAAUGAAGAGGUGAGUAAACAUAUUGCAAUGAAUUAUUUCUCUUAAGGCCAUUGGCCUCUUUAUAGUUUAGAUUGGAUUAGAAUGUAAACAUAUUGGAUUAGAAUAUAACACCCGUUUAUGGCUCAUGGGUACUAUUUAUUUUUAGUUUAGAUUUGAUUCAAGGUUCUUGAGUUCGUGGGUUGCACUAUGGUAGAUUGUGGUUAUUCAUGCACUAUGGUAGUUUGUGUGACAACUUUUGAGAUUUAAAGUACAUUGUGAGCUAAAUUUGCUUAUUGAUAUAUGUGUUCUUGAAUAUUCAUUUUUUGGGAAUUCUGAUAAUUCUGUUGAGAACAAGUGGUUGUGAAAUAUUUUUAGGAGUGUGUUUCUUUAAACAGGUUCAGGGUAAAUUUUUGGUUUUGUUGUGGUAGCAUCGUUAUGUUGCCGAAAAUUUUCCAUCAUCUUCGUUUCUUAUAUCUAGGUAACCAAGCUUCUCUUCUUCAAGAUCUUGAAAAAUAAGAUUCUCUCAUUUAUUCAACUAUUAAGUUUUCUUGUU